GGUUAAGCGACUAAGCGUACACGGUGGAUGCCCUGGCAGUCAGAGGCGAUGAAGGACGUGCUAAUCUGCGAUAAGCGCCGGUAAGGUGAUAUGAACCGUUAUAACCGGCGAUUUCCGAAUGGGGAAACCCAGUGUGACUCGUCACACUAUCAUUAACUGAAUCCAUAGGUUAAUGAGGCGAACCGGGGGAACUGAAACAUCUAAGUACCCCGAGGAAAAGAAAUCAACCGAGAUUCCCCCAGUAGCGGCGAGCGAACGGGGAGGAGCCCAGA
RNAcentral lists this ribosomal RNA (272 nucleotides) under Salmonella enterica. RNAcentral's name for it is "partial 23S ribosomal RNA". It matches the Rfam family "Bacterial large subunit ribosomal RNA", at positions 1 to 273 of the family's 2925-position model. Lineage: Bacteria; Pseudomonadati; Pseudomonadota; Gammaproteobacteria; Enterobacterales; Enterobacteriaceae. The record is from RNAcentral.